Molecule: long non-coding RNA, 3707 nt
Filed under: Takifugu rubripes (torafugu)
Lineage: Eukaryota; Metazoa; Chordata; Actinopteri; Tetraodontiformes; Tetraodontidae
Description: lncRNA (ENSTRUG00000029234.1)
Source: RNAcentral
GCGUUCACCUAUGAUGCAAUGACAGCUCCUCGAGAUUGCGGCUGAAUCGGCUCUUGCUCGGUGUAAGGGACUAUUCAUUGCGGGGUUUUAACGGAAAAAAACAACAUUAACCAUUUUUUCAGACACAUCAAAGCGGCCAUCUGGUUAAAUUCAAGGAGGCUGCCCCUUUUUUCCUGCACUUCCUUUACUGCUCUCAGCGGGUCCCCUUCAUUUUCUGUCCUCCUUUCGCCCUGCAGGUUCUCCUGCAGAGUGAGACUCUCACAAGAAUGUGUCUAAUUUAGUGACUAAGAGGCAGAUUUAUACCUGUGCUAGUUAUGAAGAAGGUUGCUCCCCUGAGAAGCCCAAUGACUGUUUACGGGCAGCCCAACAAUGCCUUAGCAGAUGAUAAAGCACCUGCCAUGUCUGUUCCAUCCCUUUAUGUCCGUCGGCUCGCCUCCCUUUCCUCUCACUUUCUCUCUCUCUCGUUGUCUUCCUCUGCUCAGCCCAUCACUUCUUCCUCUCUCUUUGUUAUUUUUCUCAGCGGAGGCGCAUCUCCCUCAGUUACCAUGGAGUCGCGCAUUUUACAACCACUGCUUUCCCCAGACAGCCUGUGGGAAGCAGGCAGAAACGCAGCCUGGACGUGUCAUCAGCCUGGGCAACACUGGGCAAUUCAGAGUUUCCAGUCAACCGUAAUGUGGAUGUUUUGGGACUGCGGGCAGAAAAGAAGAAGAAAACCAUAGACCCCUCCUCAGAGGCCUGACUCAGACUCCUGGCAGUGACGCCAUCCUGCUCACACCGUACCAAGUUGUAUUAAAGAUGGCUUUGCUCUCACUGCUAUUGGCCAGCAACCUCUACUGGUAUCAGGAUUUUGAAAGGUUUGCUUGUUUGGAACUCUCAAUGAUGAAACCCUGGAGGUUUGAGCAUCCCCGUCACUCCUUUAUGAGUUGCCACCGAUCGAACAUUGUUGGCAGGAAUUACUGUCACUUGUCCUGAUCUGUAUGCAUGGUAACCUUUUUCAUCUCGAAGAACGACAUGGCCCCCUGCGAAGUCUUUACAUUAUGGGCAAACAUUUGCAAUUAUGAUGAACUCUGCCAGCUUAUCUUAAAAGGAACAGGUUCUUACUGACAGACAAGGAGACGUUUUAAUGGAAUAAACUGCUUUGAGCUGAUGAAAUAAAGAUUGCUCCACCUCAGGGCACACUCAAAUUAAAUUAUCAAGAUGAGUUCACGCAUGCUGCUCCCAUUAACUCAGGUACGGUAAAGGCCUAAUCGCGCCGCAAUGGCUAUGUGUAGAAUUUAGCAAGAAAUUCCCGUACACAGAGGAGGAUGCUUGCAGUUGUUCGGAGUCCGACCUGUUUGACUGUCCCCGCUGAGCACUUAAGACAACUCGGAUUCUUUUUAAAUCCAAUCAGCAGGUCGGCCAUAAUGCUAAAACCACAUGUUGCCCUGAGAGUGAGUGGACACUGCGCAGCGUGCAGAUAAACACGGGCCUGGUGAUUGAUCAGGGGACCGUGGAAAGAGCCAGGAGAGCUUCGCCUGAAAAGGAAUGCCGGCGUUUAGGCGAGAGGGACGGCAAGUGGCAAUGGGAAACACCUGCGCUGGGGUGAACAGGCGGGCAGCGUGCGUGGGUAGGGGAAGGAGGAAUCGUACCACUGAGCUUAAGAGGAAGGAAGAGCCAAGAGGGAGGUAUAAAAGCAGUUGGAAGGUCUGCUGCAUCCUCGCCGUUUACUGCUGUGAAGUAGAGGACUAAAGGAAUUAGUUACAGUAGCGUCAGCUGUCUGCUAACUGUUAAUGCAGAUGUGGUGAUAGAAGGCUGCCCUGACACACACACACACACACACACACACACACACACACACACACACACAUACACACACACACACACACACGUAGUGCCACCGUAAUGUUUAGGUUAAAAUUCUUUUGGGGUGUUCAGUAAUGCUUAAUGUAAUAUACAUAUUUGGACAUGUUUCCAUUGAUCAUAUCAACCCAUGGUGACAACAACAGCAACAAAGAUCACCAUUUAUUCAUUUUAAAGUGUACUUAAUCAAAAUAAGAUCAUCGUGUUUUCACAGAAGCAGGUGGGAAACUGAAAACAAUGUUAACAAACAAACAGAGAUUUACUUCUCUCCUGAGAGAUUGGGAAGAAUCCCGCAUUGAUAAAAUUUAAACAACUUGUGUUGGAGUUUAGUUUCUUAGUAUCAAUAGGACAUUAUUUAUUCAUGUGUUUAUACUUACAGUUAUAUUUAAAGUCAAAUUGGGUAUGGGCGUCUAAUCCAUUGGUUUUUAGAUCUAACCAUGAAAACAGCCUCCGCACAUUACAAACAGGCACGAGUCCUCCGUGAAACAAAGACGCACACAAAGCAGCCCGUAUUUUUACAGCUGAACGCCGUAGCCUGCUGCACAUCCAUCAGCCGCUCCACCCUCAAGUCAGGUUGAUCAUUCCAUCUCCUGCCUCUCUAUCCUGAGGUGCCUGCUGUCAAUUUAUCAGACUCUUCCUUUUAAUUUCAGACUUUCCGCAGCGUAGGCAUCCAUCUCACGCUGUCCGCGGCGGCGUUAGAGGGCUCAGAGCAAAGCGGAGUGGAUCAGCUGACAGGCAGGAGCUGGUUGGGAUGGAGGACUAAUGGUACAAAAACACCAUGAGAACAAAAUGUGGUGUAAAGCUCUUAUUACAUCUCUGUCUUUCCGAUAGAACAAGGUUAAGGAGGGAGAAGGCAAAGUUCUUAUUGCAAAUCCAUUAAUAUGAGGCUAAAAUACAGCUUCUACUCUAUCUCCUGGGGUGACAUGUACAGAGGUUCACACAGCCGUUUCAACCGCACACUGUCAUAUUCAUAAAUGAGAAAUCAGAUAUGUUUAGGCAAUCAUGCAUGCAAUCAGCAGGUUGCAUCUCCCUGACUUUUCCUCUGGCACACCUCUGGAACCUGAAAAUAAAGGUGAAUCCUGUGCCCCAUCUGAUCUUUUAGUUUGAUCUUAAUUCGGGCCCUCCCUCCUGGAAGCCAGUCUUUCCACACUCAUCUGCCCACCUCUUCCGUGAUCCCUAUCUCUGAACCCGACAAAAUUAAUUACUGUAUGUUUUUAUUUCAUGAACGUGUCAGGCUGAAAUGAUGAAUGGCUUGUAAUAUCAGAGGAUUAAAGGCACAAAGCGAUGAGAGACACGCGUGCUUUACACCGCCGUAGUGCUUACAUGUAAGCACAUGAACCCGCACACGGUCUCCGGGGCCGCCGAUAUCUGGUUUCAUAUUUGAUAUUAACUUACUGGGAGGGAGGAGGAGGGGUGGGGUGGGGGGGUCCAGCCACAAUGUCAUUACACAGUGGUGCAGGGGCAUAAUAGAAGUGAACUUUUCAAAAAGGUCUUUAUAAUUGCAGAUGGAGCCUUGCUUGAUAAAGCUCCAUAUUGAUACGUGUGCCGGUGGCCUCAUUACAACAACAGAUGAAAAAGAGCAUUUCAGCAUUCUUUAAUGAGCGCUGGACCGGUGAAGGUCAUCUUAAUGGGGUUCAACUUGCUGUUGGGAGCCAGAGGUAAUAUUCUAAUGAGAAAGAGCCUCUACCCCACUCUAGUAAUUCUGUAAUUGCACCCUUAGAUGCCAUUUUAUUGUUGUCCGCGCUGUGGUAUUAAAAGUCCUUUGUUGUCAUUUGCAACAUUGCUUGUCCUCUUUUCUUGGGAUUGGUGAUCCAGCUCGAGCUGGACACACACACACACACACACACACACACACACACAUUACCAUA